Molecule: long non-coding RNA, 511 nt
Filed under: Manihot esculenta (cassava)
Lineage: Eukaryota; Viridiplantae; Streptophyta; Magnoliopsida; Malpighiales; Euphorbiaceae
Description: long non-coding RNA (MESC_LNC005242)
Source: RNAcentral
AUAAGAACACUUUCUAGGAAAAUAUAAUUUACAAGCUUAAACUGCACAGCAAGAAAGAAACAGAAUCCAAGAAAAUAAGCUUAAAUUGCAAAUCAGUAGCUUGUAUAAAGUUCUGCUCAAAAUGACACACAUCUGUGGCUGUGCUCACCUUGGAAAACUACAGAAAGCAGUAAAUGGUCCCUCAUGAGUUACUGGUUUCUGAGAUCAGUGUCCUGAUAGGCCUUUUUCUUCUUCCUCCAACUUAAAAUCUCCAGUGAAUUCAACACAUGGAAUUCAAUGAUUUGCCAAGGUGGUCCCUUCUUUCAUCUAAUGUUAUACACAAAUCUAUGCAGAUAUUCCCACAAGCUUCAACAGCUAGUCAAAUUUAAAAUUUUAGGCAUUUUGCAAGAGCAAGGCAACAAAAAUAAAGCAAAGAUCAGCAAGUUUUCAUCACAAACAAUUUCCUGUGGCUCCUACAGUUCUAGUUGUCUGCUUUUUCUUCCUUCUUUUAUUUUUUCUUCAUUAAUUUGCA